Molecule: non-coding RNA, 79 nt
Organism: Nitrospina sp.
Lineage: Bacteria; Pseudomonadati; Nitrospinota; Nitrospinia; Nitrospinales; Nitrospinaceae
Source: Rfam
CUACCGUCAUCGAGAGGUGACGGGACGGGUGGACAGAAGUCAGCCGAGGGCAUAGUGUGCGCUGGGCAGCGUACAAGUC